This 433-nucleotide ribosomal RNA is filed under the name uncultured bacterium. RNAcentral describes it as "partial 16S ribosomal RNA". It matches the Rfam family "Bacterial small subunit ribosomal RNA", at positions 29 to 506 of the family's 1533-position model. The record is from RNAcentral.
AGCGAACGCUGGCGGCAGGCCUAACACAUGCAAGUCGAACGAACCUUUCGGGGUUAGUGGCGGACGGGUGAGAAACACGUGGGAACGUGCCUUUAGGUUCGGAAUAACUCAGGGAAACUUGUGCUAAUACCGAAUGUGCCCUUCGGGGGAAAGAUUAAUCGCCUUUAGAGCGGCCCGCGUCUGAUUAGCUAGUUGGUUGAGGUAAUGGCUCACCAAGGCGACGAUCAGUAGCUGGUCUGAGAGGAUGAUCAGCCACAUUGGGACUGAGACACGGCCCAAACUCCUACGGGAGGCAGCAGUGGGGAAUCUUGCGCAAUGGGCGAAAGCCUGACGCAGCCAUGCCGCGUGAAUGAUGAAGGUCUUAGGAUUGUAAAAUUCUUUCACCGGGGACGAUAAUGACGGUACCCGGAGAAGAAGCCCCGGCUAACUUCGU